Molecule: ribosomal RNA, 460 nt
Filed under: uncultured bacterium
Lineage: Bacteria
Description: partial 16S ribosomal RNA
Rfam family: Bacterial small subunit ribosomal RNA
Source: RNAcentral
CCUACGGGAGGCAGCAGUGAGGAAUAUUGGUCAAUGGACGAGAGUCUGAACCAGCCAAGUAGCGUGAAGGAUGACUGCCCUAUGGGUUGUAAACUUCUUUUAUAUGGGAAUAAAAUGUUCCACGUGUGGGAUUUUGUAUGUACCAUAUGAAUAAGGAUCGGCUAACUCCGUGCCAGCAGCCGCGGUAAUACGGAGGAUCCGAGCGUUAUCCGGAUUUAUUGGGUUUAAAGGGAGCGUAGGUGGAUUGUUAAGUCAGUUGUGAAAGUUUGCGGCUCAACCGUAAAAUUGCAGUUGAAACUGGCAGUCUUGAGUACAGUAGAGGUGGGCGGAAUUCGUGGUGUAGCGGUGAAAUGCUUAGAUAUCACGAAGAACUCCGAUUGCGAAGGCAGUUCACUGGACUGCAACUGACACUGAGGCUCGAAAGUGUGGGUAUCAAACAGGAUCAGAUACCCCAGUAGUC